GAUGAACGCUGGCGGCGUGCCUAAUACAUGCAAGUCGAGCGAACAGAUAAGGAGCUUGCUCCUUUGACGUUAGCGGCGGACGGGUGAGUAACACGUGGAUAACCUACCUAUAAGACUGGGAUAACUUCGGGAAACCGGAGCUAAUACCGGAUAACAUAUUGAACCGCAUGGUUCAAUAGUGAAAGGCGGCUUUGCUGUCACUUAUAGAUGGAUCCGCGCCGUAUUAGCUAGUUGGUAAGGUAACGGCUUACCAAGGCAACGAUACGUAGCCGACCUGAGAGGGUGAUCGGCCACACGGGAACUGGGCCACGGUCCAGACUCCUACGGGAGGCAGCAGUAGGGAAUCUGCCGCAAUGGGCGAAAGCCUGACGGAGCAACGCCGCGUGAGUGAUGAAGGUCUUCGGAUCGUAAAACUCUGUUAUCAGGGAAGAACAAAUGUGUAAGUAACUGUGCACAUCUUGACGGUACCUGAUCAGAAAGCCACGGCUAACUACGUG
RNAcentral lists this ribosomal RNA (497 nucleotides) under uncultured bacterium. RNAcentral's name for it is "partial 16S ribosomal RNA". It matches the Rfam family "Bacterial small subunit ribosomal RNA", at positions 28 to 507 of the family's 1533-position model. The record is from RNAcentral.